AUUCCCAAGAAGGAAGAAGGAAGGACUCUUUUGAAGACUUUCGGCUUCUUUCCGGUAUUCAACGUCCGUCUCUCUCUAUCUCAAGCCAAGAAAUUGUUUGCUUUCCCUAACAUUUAAACCCAGACAAACUUCUAAACUCCAUCCCACACACUUUCCCUUUCCUCUCGAUGAAACCUCUCAGUUGCAGGCUCUUCCCCUGCGUCUCCCCUCUUCUUCUUCAACUGCCAUGCAACCCGUCUCCCUCCGAGCACCCGCUCUUCUUCAAGCCCUGACCUGCGGAAAGAAGGUGGUCCAGCCCUAAUCGCUGGUGGCUGUUCUCAUAUGAGGUCGUUUCUGAAACAUCUAUGUUAACCUGUUCUCUCUCUCUCUGGCUAAGGCUCUGCGUCUGCCAUGGCCGACGCAGCUCUUGAGUUGUCCCAUUCUUGAGGACUUGGUAGGUACUCGGAGAAGAGCACCUCUGCUGAUGCUACUCAUAGUUCUGAAGGAGAUGGAAUACGAGAACAGAUUGUUCUGAGUGACAGUUCAUCACUUCUUCGUUUGGAUGAACAGUCACUAAGUGACCCAACUGCGAAUUUAUCAUAUAGUAGGAUGUAACCUGGUGAAGGGGUCGAUGUCAGGGGAAGACAGAGUGAGGAUGGAAUUCUGGAUUCCGACACCGUGUUCUCAUGGUUUAUCAACAACCCAUCUCCUCUUGAGCAAAUGGUGGGAUGGCAGCGAUCUAGACAAGAGAAGAUGCAUAAAGGACAGGAAAUCCUUCAGAUGCUUGAGAAAGAGUUUUACUUUUGCAGAGCUUGUGUGAGAGGAAGUGUGAACAUUUGAAUUAUGAGGAAGCGUUGAAUAAUGUUGAAAACCUGUGCAUCGAUGAGCUUAAGAAAAGAGAGCAGAACAUGAAGGUUAUGCCUUGUAGUUAUGAGGCAAUACUAAGGAAGUGGCAGG
Long non-coding RNA from Nymphaea colorata (pocket water lily), 936 nucleotides. RefSeq lists it as uncharacterized. NCBI's taxonomy places the organism in Eukaryota, Viridiplantae, Streptophyta, Magnoliopsida, Nymphaeales, Nymphaeaceae. The transcript has 3 exons. The record is from RefSeq and is a predicted model, not a curated record.